AGCGAACGUUAGCGGCAGGCCUAACACAUGCAAGUCGCACGAGAAUCCGGCUUCGGUCGGUAGUAAAGUGGCGGACGGGUGAGUAACACGUGGAUAAUCUGCCCCUCGGCGGGGGACAACAGUCCGAAAGGAUUGCUAAUACCGCAUACGUCAGCGAGGUCUUCGGACCUUGUUGGGAAAGAUGGCCUCUUCAUGAAAGCUAUCACCGAAGGAUGAGUCCGCGGCCCANCAGCUAGUUGGCGGGGUAAUGGCCCACCAAGGCUUAGACGGGUAGCUGGUCUGAGAGGAUGAUCAGCCACACUGGAACUGAGACACGGUCCAGACUCCUACGGGAGGCAGCGGUGGGGAAUAUUGGGCAAUGGGCGCAAGCCUGACCCAGCCAUGCCGCGUGAGUGAUGAAGGCCUU
This 406-nucleotide ribosomal RNA is filed under the name uncultured bacterium. RNAcentral describes it as "bacterial SSU rRNA". It matches the Rfam family "Bacterial small subunit ribosomal RNA", at positions 29 to 418 of the family's 1533-position model. The record is from RNAcentral.